Long non-coding RNA from Micropterus salmoides (largemouth bass), 3130 nucleotides. RefSeq lists it as uncharacterized. NCBI's taxonomy places the organism in Eukaryota, Metazoa, Chordata, Actinopteri, Centrarchiformes, Centrarchidae. The record is from RefSeq and is a predicted model, not a curated record. The transcript is spliced from 2 exons.
AGUAGGGCUUUAUAACGUUACAUUCAGUAGUAUGUUAGUAGUAGUGAUUGUAAUUAUUAGUGUUUGACCAUAUCUUGGCAAAAUACUGCAAAAGAAAGCUAGAAAACGACCCGUUUUGCAUUAGAGUCAAUGGAGCGCAGCCAUGAAAGUGUCGGACCUCAGUUAUAGCGAGCCCUAUCCUGCGCUGUGAUUGGCCAGCUGUGUCCAGGAGGAGAGCUUUUGCUCAGUCUCGGUCUACCUUUUCUAUGGGGCACAUUUAGAACAGACAUCAGGAUAAUCUUUUCACAUCAGACUGUAAUGCCGCACUCAGUCAACUCUAAAGAGAAGGGAGGCAAGUGAUCAACCUGAGGGCAAGAGACGUACAGUAUGUACAUCUGAGAGACACACGUGGUUGAGCUAGAUGCCGGUACAGCAGGGUUACCCUGUCUGGUCACUGCUUUCAGCAUGCCUCUCCUUCUCCCUGUCUCUCUGUACUGCCUGUUUUGUGACCAGAUACCAUUAUUUUACCAGAAGAACAGUCACUGAGCUGGAUGAUCAUUUUAAUUUGAUACAUUGAAUAUUCUGUUUGUAUCACUGGUUUGUGGAUAAAGAACAGUGUACAUGCAGCCCUGUCUGACAGGUGUCUGAGACUGUUAUUAUCCCUCUCUUCAAUGCUCCCAGACUCCUUUAGACAAAUUUUACCAUGCAGAACACAGGAGUUGCUGGUCUACAGCUGCCUCAAUUAGUUAGUUUGUUUAUGUUAUUGUGUGACCAACUGAGACAGGUGUGGGUUCCAGAUGUGUCUAUUUGUGAAUGUUGGUAGGGCUUGUGAGCAUGUCUGUAUGUACAUUAGUUAGAAAAAGGAAAAGCACACAGAGGAAGGUAUACAAGAUCCUACACCGCACACAAACCGUGGAAUUUACAAUCACUUAGCAGGUUUUGGAUUCCACUCCUGAUAGUUUCGCUAUUGUCUCAAGAGUUAACACAAGCAAAACACAGAUCUUAAUUACAUGGUAAAACAUCAAAAGUGGUUUCAACUUUGAGGUGUGAAUUAACAGACAGAGAGAUUUUGGUGCUGCUUUCUUCGUUACAUGCCAUUUGUUAUUUAGAGGCCACUUUAUGAAGGCUUUGCCAUAGGAUGAGGUUCCAACGUUUUUUAAUGAUCUACUUUACCUGUAAGUGUGACACGUUUGUUCAAAAGCCAUAACGGCAUAUCUGGUUUCCCUCAGGCUCAGUUACUAAUUGGGAUUCAAAUAUUUCACCUAUAAACUCAGUGUCAUGCAGUCUUGAUUGUUGUUCCAUGAGUAAGUGCUGCAAAAUGAGUUCCAAUUAAGAGGUAAUUGCAGUGCUGUUGAGCAGUAACAAGUUGCUAAUGAAAAUCCUGGGCUUAUGAUGGAACUGGGAGAUUGCUUUUAAAAUUAGGCUGCUUCACCAGUUUUGCUCUCUGUGGAUGAAGGAAUUAGACAGCAUGGGUCUGGGAAGUCCUGGCUAAUUACUCUCAAAUCCCAGUGAAGUCCAUUUGUGGCAAUUAUUGCCCUGUGAUUGCCUUUGUACCAUCUCAUCUCACAAAGCUGCUCACAAUUUCUAUUUGAAUUUCUCACAAACUGUGUUGUUUUGGCACCUUUUCACGUAUUGGCACCUUGCCACAUAUUGUUAUUUUUAGUAAUUUGAGCCCAAGAUAAUUGACUGAUAAUAUUUAAAGGUACAGUAUGUAAGAAUCUACUACUCUCCACCUGUUGUUCACACUCCAAAAAUAUAAGGACAGUAUUUCACACAUCAGGUCAAAAUUAUGACAGUUUAGGCUGCAUUUUAGAUAAUAUUUAACCAAAUACAUGUUGUGAGAUGUGCAACAUUCUUUUCUUAUCUCUGAUAAAAGCCUGAUUAAUUUAAUGGGGCGUGAUUUACUGUGUAAAAUGCAUGCUACUCAGAGAGGAAUCUGUAUUUAUUAAGUGCCUGUACCUGUGCUUUAUGGACGGUAGCUGCACGAGGACACACACCCUUCCACGCCGUCAUGCCAAUCUAGUCCGCAGUCGGGGUCUGAACCUGCACCUGUGGCGCUUCCAUGUCUGCUCCCCACGGGGUUUUAGUAAAUUGACAUCCGUUAGAGGUGUCUCUUGUCACAACAGGCAACCCCUCGCUGGUGACAAAGGGGGCCUUCUGCCUCCCCCUAUUGGUAGAAGUGGUUCUGACCAGCUUGUGGUUUGGAGUGGUCCUUAUUAAAUGUGGAGCAUUCUUAAAUGGUUGCUCAGUAUUUUGCUGUACAGGAUGCUGUGCGUUUUGUUGUGGUUAUUUUAGUGUGUGCAAAGUUCCCUUGCAGUGCUGUGUUAUAGGGUGGAAGGACAGCCCCGGUGACCAUUAGGGGUUGACCUUUGUGAGGGCUCUCUGCCUUCCUUGCUACAUUUCACUGGGGGGUAGCUUCUGUGUAGUGAAGCUUCAUUUAAUGUAAAGUAGCUAGUAGCUAGGCUCACUACAUUUUCCAAGUAGCUUGCCCAACACUGUUAAUAAAUUUGUUCAGUUGUGUGACAAGAACUAUCUCACCGUUAACACUAAAAAACUGAGGAGAUGGUGUUUGACCCUCGGUCAGUGGGGGAUGAUACCCCACUGACCAUUCACAGGUCACUUCUUAUAAGUAUCUGUGUAUCCACCUGGAUAAACUCUUAAGCUGGAGUGAUCAUGUUGACUAUGUAUGUUCCUGUCACAAACCCCCGGUCGUGACCCUGACCUUCCUGUUGGGAUGUGUGUGUGUGAUAGUAGUUUUGAGUUCUUUUCCCCUUGGGAUGUUUACGGUGUGCUUGGUGUGUUUUGGUUUUUGUCUGUCUCUCUGUGAUCUGCUUCCUCCCUCAUGCUCUGGGGCUGCUGGUGGGCGUGGUUGCCUGAGCUCCUGUUGACGCACCUGAGACUCAUCCAUUUAAUCAGCACACCAGUGCCUCAGCCUACAAUCAACCCACCUUAAAAGACCAGCCCAACCUUCCAGUCCCCGCUGGAUUGUUGUCCCACACACAUACCUGCUCAUGCAUGACUCGGAUUCCCUCCUGCGCCACGAAAAUCCCUGAGCUCUGGAACCAGGACCACAUGCCCCUUGGAACAACCACCCAUCCUCAAGCCACACCUGUCUCUCCCUUGUGUUCAAUAAAUCGUUACACUGCUCAUA